CAGCAGCCGCGGUAAUACGAAGGGGGCUAGCGUUGUUCGGAAUUACUGGGCGUAAAGCGCAUGUAGGCGGGUCUUUAAGUCAGGGGUGAAAUGCCAGGGCUCAACCUUGGAACUGCCUUUGAUACUGGAGAUCUUGAGUCCGGGAGAGGUGAGUGGAACUGCGAGUGUAGAGGUGAAAUUCGUAGAUAUUCGCAAGAACACCAGUGGCGAAGGCGGCUCACUGGCCCGGUACUGACGCUGAGAUGCGAAAGCGUGGGGAGCAAACAGGAUUAGAUACCCCGGUAGUCCCUGUCUCUUAUAC
RNAcentral lists this ribosomal RNA (301 nucleotides) under uncultured bacterium. Its description in RNAcentral is "partial 16S ribosomal RNA". It matches the Rfam family "Bacterial small subunit ribosomal RNA", at positions 509 to 807 of the family's 1533-position model. The record is from RNAcentral.